This 619-nucleotide ribosomal RNA is filed under the name uncultured bacterium. Its description in RNAcentral is "bacterial SSU rRNA". The stretch from base 1 to 524 matches the Rfam family "Bacterial small subunit ribosomal RNA", at positions 338 to 873 of the family's 1533-position model. The record is from RNAcentral.
CCUACGGGAGGCAGCAGUGAGGAAUUUUCCGCAAUGGGCGAAAGCCUGACGGAGCAAUACCGCGUGAGGGAUGAAGGAUUUUGGUCUGUAAACCUCUUUUCUCAAGAAAGAAGUUCUGACGGUACUUGAGGAAUAAGCAUCGGCUAACUCCGUGCCAGCAGCCGCGGUAAUACGGGGGAUGCAAGCGUUAUCCGGAAUGAUUGGGCGUAAAGCGCCUGUAGGUUGUUUAUUAAGUCCGUUGUUAAAGCCUAGGGCUUAACCCUAGAAAAGCAAUGGAAACUAGUAGACUAGGGUAUGGCAGGGGUAGAGGGAAUUUCUAGUGUAGCGGUGAAAUGCGUAGAUAUUAGAAAGAACACCGGUGGCGAAAGCGCUCUACUGGACCAUUACUGACACUCAGAGGCGAAAGCUAGGGUAGCAAAAGGGAUUAGAUACCCCUGUAGUCCUAGCCGUAAACGAUGGAUACUAGAUGUUGUGNAUAUAGUACUAGUAUACGUAGUACGUACGUACGUUAACGUACUACCGUCCGUCGGGUAGGUACGUCGUCGCGAGGUAGGUAACGUACGAACGAAGUAGUAGACGNGAGAGACGUCGUACGACGACGACGACGGAGGUUAGGUAG